AUUUGGGGUGCCAACACAGCACCUGAGCAUGCUAUAGUUUGCUUCUGAUUUCAGAAGCUAAUCAAGGUAAGUCCUGGUUAGUUCUUGGAUGGGAGACCUCCAGGAAAUAACCAAUGAUCUCCAGGUA
Molecule: ribosomal RNA, 127 nt
Filed under: Pogona vitticeps (central bearded dragon)
Lineage: Eukaryota; Metazoa; Chordata; Lepidosauria; Squamata; Agamidae
Source: RNAcentral